Acinonyx jubatus (cheetah) is the source of this 2729-nucleotide long non-coding RNA. RefSeq lists it as uncharacterized. The transcript has 4 exons. The record is from RefSeq and is a predicted model, not a curated record. NCBI's taxonomy places the organism in Eukaryota, Metazoa, Chordata, Mammalia, Carnivora, Felidae.
GGAAGCCAAGGCAAUGGCAUGACGGGAUGGUUUAGACGAGGACUUAGCAAACCUACUGCCCACAGGCCAAGUCUGGUUUGUCUCCUGUUUCAGUAAAUAAAGUUUCGUUGGAACACAGCCACACCCAUUAGUUUAUUUAUUGUUGCGUUGCGGAGUUACGAGUAUACUGUAUGGCUUUCAAUACCACCUGACCUUUAAGAGAAAAAGUUUGCCGACCCCUUGGCUGAGAUUACAAACUCCUGAAAAACAAGGACAGUGUCCAUACAUCUCCUGUUUCCUCACAGGGCCUGCCUGGUAGAAGAGCAGGUGCAGAGCAGGGAUUUGAGAUCUAUGGUGGAAGAAACGAUUCUAAGUCUGGAAUAAACCUUCCUGCUUCAAGAAUGACUUCUUUCACAGACUCCUGGGAACAUAACGCCUUGCGUUACAGAAACAACUUCAGGGGUUAAAGAAGUACAGGGUGCAAAUUGGUCUCUGUCAUUUGUAACGAGAGAGAUAAUCUUGUUGCCAUAGUUACUACAGAUGACCAGAUCGACCGUCUGCUGUAUAUAUAAUCUGGGCACCCCGGCCUCCUACUCUGUACUGCAAGGAAGGGUCCUGAGCCUCCAAUACACAUUGUGUCAGGCUGGAUCUGAGGAGACUUGGAGCCUGAGUGCCUUUCUUAGGUGGAGUUCUUCCAGGAGUGACCCUAUGCAAAGGAUUCGCACGAAAGUGAUUUGUUAAAGGCAGUGCUCUGCAGAAGAAUGAGAUAGAAGAAAGUGGAGGAAGCAGAGUAAGCAAAACACAAAUGGCAAAAAACAAAACAAAACAAUGAAAGAAGAACCGAGGUGCAAUUUCAGAUGAAGUCCGAGCCUUAGCCUGAUCCUACGGGGAUCUUUGGAGUCUGAAUUACAUUUCACGUUCAAGAAGCGACUUUGCGGUCCUAAAGGUGGUGGCUCUUCCAAGUAAGCCAAGAGUCAAGGGAGCUAGACCUUUGUAUCCUCUUACCCUUUCCUUCUCAGCAGGCAGCAUCAGAGUAUGGAGGCCCUGGAGGUACAAAAACUCUCAGGCACUUUAGGCUCUCCGGGUAGCGAAGCCACACCAGCAGCUCCCGGGUUAAGUUUACAGCAAAGAGCCCUUAGCAUCAAAGGGCACAGAAACUGGAUGGUGCAUACAGAACUUUGGUAAAGGGGGAUGCGAGAGGAUCUGGAGAGAGGACUAACGCUAUUUGCUAUAGGCCAGACUGGAUGUCUUCUCCACCAAUGCUUCCACGUGGUUUGGGAUUACAUGCCAUUUUGGAUUCUACGUGUCAUUUUUAUGAUAUGGGCCCUCCCAGAGCGAAGAGCCCUCAUCUUCCUGAUCCAUCCUCAAAUUAGAGCUUCUCAUUCACUCCUUCCAUGAGUCUGGCUGCUCUUCUCUGGCUCAGCACAUUUGUGUUUUUCUUGAGAGACAGUGACCAGCACUAUCCUCAGUAUCCCAGGAACGGAUAUACUACAGCUUCAGGUCAGGGUGAAUAUGUACGAAAUGACAAUCCAUUCCUGCGUGGAAGGCCAGCGCUCCAUCUUCACUAACACGAUAUAGUUGAAGAGCAUCAAGUAUCCGAUGUACGCCAGCUGUAAGGAAACACAAUACAGUGUUCUGGCUACGGAGACCCGGGAGCCCGGCCCUUGGGCAAGGCCGCUGCAUGGCAGAACAGAGCAAGCUGGGCACUUGAAAUGACUCUCAUCACAGACCAGAUCUGGGAGCCAGCUGGAUCCCUGCCUCCUUUCUUCUUGGAACAGAAGAGGACCCAACCUGGCCUUCUGGAAACUUGCUAAGAUAUGGAAGUGAACUUAUGUGGAAAUGAGGUGUGUUCCCUCUUUCAGAAACUUGGGAGUGUACACAGAAGGAGAUAUUUUUGGAAACCAGAGUGGGAAAUACUCUUAUAGGAAGGAACACAUCCGAAAGCAAAUGGGAGGUUUGAUCUAAAGUGAAUUUUACUGUUAAGCAUCUCUGGGGAGGGGACUUAAAAAUCUGGCAUUCCUCAUCUCCAUGCACUUCCUCGAGGCCUAGGCUUUGUAAACACACAGCUAUGGAUUUCUGGAAAUCAUUAUGUAAACACUAACAACAUGACUGGGGUGUCCAGUCCAAUGGGUUUGCUGAGUCUACCGUCAGCUGUGCAGAAGGGAGCCAGACACACAGGCUCCACUUCUCGGAGGCAUCUGAUACAAGGAGAGCAGUGUGUCCCAAGCUUCCUGGACUAUAAGACUCACUUGGGGAGCUUGUUAAACAUAUAGCCUCUUCAGCAACUCCUUGGAGAUUAGAUUUCAUGGGUCUGUGAUAGGGCCACGAUGUGCAUUUCUAACAAAAUUCUUUAUCAUCAAAGAAGUUUUGGAAAAAAAUACUGGGCCUUCUGUCUGGGGCAGUGGUUCUUAACCCUGGCUACUCAUUACAACCACCUGGGUCCUUUGAAAUAACCUGAAGCUUUGGUUGUGCCCAGACCAAUGAUGUCAGAAUCUCUGAGAAUAGAGAACCCAGGUACCUUAAAAAAAUUUUUUUUAAUAGAUAAAUAGGUGGAUUAAAUAGAACCCAGGUGUUGUUGUUUUUAAAGAGCUCCAGGCGAUCCCAAUGUGUAGUCAAGACUGAAAACCACUGUCCAAGGCAUUUGUGACUUAAAAGCAUCUUGGCCAACAAAUUGUCACAGCUGAAUAAAUGGGGACUAAGGGAAUCAAGAAAAUAAUGUUAAUGCUGAACAAUGAUCAGAAAAGAGAAGA